GACGAACGCUGGCGGCGUGCCUAAUACAUGCAAGUUGAGCGCUGAAGGUUGGUACUUGUACCAACUGGAUGAGCAGCGAACGGGUGAGUAACGCGUGGGGAAUCUGCCUUUGAGCGGGGGACAACAUUUGGAAACGAAUGCUAAUACCGCAUAAAAACUUUAAACACAAGUUUUAAGUUUGAAAGAUGCAAUUGCAUCACUCAAAGAUGAUCCCGCGUUGUAUUAGCUAGUUGGUGAGGUAAAGGCUCACCAAGGCGAUGAUACAUAGCCGACCUGAGAGGGUGCUCGGCCACAUUGGGACUGAGACACGGCCCAAACUCCUACGGGAGGCAGCAGUAGGGAAUCUUCGGCAAUGGACGAAAGUCUGACCGAGCAACGCCGCGUGAGUGAAGAAGGUUUUCGGAUCGUAAAACUCUGUUGGUAGAGAAGAACGUUGGUGAGAGUGGAAAGCUCAUCAAGUGACGGUAACUACCCCGAAAGGGACGGCUAACUACGUG
RNAcentral lists this ribosomal RNA (497 nucleotides) under uncultured bacterium. RNAcentral's name for it is "partial 16S ribosomal RNA". It matches the Rfam family "Bacterial small subunit ribosomal RNA", at positions 28 to 507 of the family's 1533-position model. The record is from RNAcentral.